UUCACGCCACCCUGUCUGCGUUGCACUAAACGAUGAGCAUCACAAACACCAGGAAUCUAGGAAACAGCACUUUCACAUUUACCGCUAACCCAGUAAUCACUCCUUUCAAUGGUGCCCUUUUCUUGAGAGCAAAACAAGUCACAUCUCUUGUUCCAAUUCGUUUGGCGCGAAGCACCUACUCCCUCUGACCAGCAGAAGCACAAACAAUCAUCACAAGACCACUUUGGGUUACCUUCAGCGAUUCCACAGCACCCAACUCCGUUUUCACCCACCCUGAAACCACAAAUGGAUCAGCCAAAAGGCAGUAGCCCACCUUCAAAAAUGUCACUCCUACUGUCACAGACUCAUCUUUAUCCUGACCAUCGAUGCAAACCUCAUGCUCCAAGGAUUAACACAGCUGCCACCUCCGAUAAUUCGCCCUCACUCACUUCCAUUUCUCCUCCAGAUCUCAAUCCAGCGUACGACUCACUCUGCUUACACUUUCUAACAUUCUUCUUUGACAUACCAUCUUCCUCCCACUCUCUCUUUGACCUCCUCUGCCUCUUUUUCCCUCCAUUCCUCUUCUGUAUUCCAAGUAUAUAUCUCCUUAUGAUAAUAUUGCACUUCUACAUAUCUCAUUCUUAGAUGCCAUUUUCAUCCUCAAUCAUUUUUUUCUGGCUAAGACCCUUUCGAUCCAUGUUUACUGUUACAAGCUCCCAAUCAGCUCCUCCUCCUUCUUUAAAUUUAUAUGGCAGAUCAUAUCCAACUGAACGGUGCAUACACCGCCACCUACUGUACUGGAGUGUGAGGCCGGUCUCCCUAUAGAUGGGUUAGGUGAAAACGUCACGAGCAUGCUUCAAUGGGUCAGAAGUCCGUUGUUGUUGUGAUUUCUGGAUGGCCAGAUAGCUACGAACAAUGACAAGAAACUGCCAUGUGGGUUAUCGUAAAUUACUCCUUUCAUCUUGUUCUUGAUACAAUGUAUUGUUUUGAGGUGUUUUGGCUGAUAUAUUUGUUGUCAAUAAACAUUGGAGACAAAAUAUAGUUUACAUGUUGUCAACUAAGCCAACAGUCUGUUUUGCCCUAUAGUUGUGCACGUGUCUUUUUUUUGCCAAACAACUAUUAAUCUAUUUCUCUUAUCUAGCCAAGCGUUUUUGCCAAUGGCGUAACACCCCCCCACGUAGCUCUCAAACUCUAGGCGGCCUUCUCCCUACAGUUUUCAGCCACUAUCUUCACCCACGACAACCUCAUGUGAACUUCAUUCCCAACGCUGUGUUUUAAAGUUUAGAAACCUCAAUAAAUCAUUGCUUGUGAUAUGGCUUUCGAAAUAUAUGGCACUUAUCUUUAAUCAGCGAAAAAUUAUACUUACUGUAGCAGUUUUGCAUAGAUCCAUACUGCUAUGGGUACUUCCAUCCGACAAAGCUACACUUCCGCUACACUUUCCGAAUUACACUUACAAACAGGUGUUCGGAGCAUGCUAAAUAGUUAAAUAGCACAGGUGGCUGCCUCUUGUCUUCCAUAAACAAGCGCUGUAACAUGGAGAUAUGGCCCUGUGGGAACACUAACCCUAUCAAGGUGUGCAUCAAUUUAACCAUAUAUAUUCUUUUAGCUGAUAUGAAAGAUAAGGUCCUCAUGCUUCCCAAACCGUACUGCAAGCAACACGUUUUAAUGUUUCGAUUGAGUGUCAGGGCUCUUAACAAAACUUCCCCGUUACGCCACUUGUUUUCGCCUACUGUUCUAGAAUGUGAAAUCAUUACACUUUGUGACACAAAGGGAAGGGAAAAAGGAUAGGGAAGAAAAAUUGCCCUACCAACUAACAUGACACCCAUUAAAACCUCACCACUAUUCCACUACUUGGCCCUAUUUGAUCCUACACCAGGCUGGCUGCCUGGGAGGAUGGGACACUAUCAUUCAACACACCUUGUAACUCUUCUGCAGUAAAAUCUCGUACAGCUAAAUACUUCUCUGUGGCGGCCACCACUAUAUCUAUUUUCUGUGAUUUCCUUUCCAUUUCUGUGUUACAGUUGAUAACCAUGGCUAUGAACACUAAGAAGCCAACCUUACUGAAAUACAUGUUCAUUUUUAUCACUCUCUAUUGCCUCUGUCUACUCACAGGGAGCCUCUUAGGAUCCCUCGCCCUGGAUCAGUUCCUCAGUUCCAAUGCCACGUGCCAUUCCAAAAAUGGCUACGGUGACUACUGCUAGCUAGCUAGAAGAAAAGGGCAGUUUUCUGGGAAAACUAGCAGUAUUUCAAUCUUCUCAACGGAGCAGUGUGGAUAAAGGUACAAUUUGGAGUACAGUGGCAUAUCCCAUCCCUGCAUUGAGUUGGGCACCUGUGUGCAGAUUGCAGCUCUGUGCUGGGGUAAGAAUGUCGGACUAGAGCGAUGAUGCGAGUGAAUCGGAGCAGUUUGGUGUCAGCCUCUCCCUGUGGCUAGGGGACAUUAACACUUUAGUACGACCUGAGGAAUUGGAUGUUCCACUCCACCACCACACUGCCUGCUACAUUAGCCAGUAUGAUGUAGCAUCAGUGUAUUAAAAAAGGGGAGGUGAACGUGGAUUAAAGAACAUUGGUAGCUGGACUCCGCUGAUGUAUGCUUCAUAGAUUGGGCAUGUCAACAUUGCUAAUCUCUUGCUGGAAGCUGAAGUGAAGGGCAAUGCCACCACUGGCAAAGGCCUGACACCCCUUAUGCUGGCAGCGAGCUGUGGGAAUGAAAACCCUGGAUACUUCCUAAUGCAGGUCAGAUUUACUUCUCUGAAUCAAAUAUUGUUUUAAUUUGUAACGCAAAUUAACCUCAAGUUUAGGUUGAACGUUAGUGUAAUGGGUGAUGGUGUUGUACAUUAUGGAAAGAUUUCUCCCAAAAACAAGGUGCUGAGUUGGAGCUGAAGACUCAAGGCUGGACAGCCCUGCUCCACUGCAUCAGCAGAUGGUUAAGUUCCUGCUGGCCCAUAAUGCCAAUGUAAAGUGAGUAUCUUCAGUUAAUGAAUACAACCACAACAAUCUAUGUCCAACUACUCAAUCAUGAGGUGUGUAAUGACACAUUUCUCACCUGCAGAGAGCCAGGGUCUGGCUUCACUACCUCAUGAAGCUGGUUGAGAGAAUGCCAAGAUUAGCUACUCUGUUUAAUAACACUUUUUUGGUUACUACAUGAUUCCAUGUGUGUUAUUUCAUAGUUGAUGUCUUUUAUUAUACAAUGUAGA
Molecule: non-coding RNA, 3173 nt
Organism: Salmo salar (Atlantic salmon)
Lineage: Eukaryota; Metazoa; Chordata; Actinopteri; Salmoniformes; Salmonidae
Source: RefSeq, a predicted model, not a curated record